RNAcentral lists this ribosomal RNA (4293 nucleotides) under Triticum aestivum (bread wheat). RNAcentral describes it as "partial small subunit ribosomal RNA". The record is from RNAcentral. Lineage: Eukaryota; Viridiplantae; Streptophyta; Magnoliopsida; Poales; Poaceae.
CGGUCGGACACCGAGGGUCGCGCAGAAGGGGUGUGCUUUUGGGAUAUUUUGGAAGGAGGGCAAGGAAUAGGAAGGGGUCCGGAGAGCGGUAAAGAGAGUUAGGGCGUUUUGGGUGCGCUUAGGUGGUUCGAGGAAGGAAGUUGACCUGAAGGACGGGGAAGAUCCCAAAGCGGGGGGUGGUUGGGGACGGGGGGCCCAAUGACGAGCACGAGAGUCGGUACCGCUGGUGCCGGAAGGGGUGGAGCUGGGGGAAGAAGCAGGUGGUGCCGUGGGCCGCGGGGAGGCAGUUGGAGGCUUGCUGGCGCCACCACAUGCCGGCACCACCCGCCGCCACCGCCGGUGACGCGCAGCGGACGCUCUUCCACCACCCCUAGCUGGAGCCCUGGUGGUUGAGUCGCCAGCGCCGCUACCUCCCGCCGUUCGGGUGGUAGCAGUGGUUGCGGCUCCCGCGCGCCUGGUGCGGCAGCCAGCACCGCAUGUGGUUCCGGCCCCUGGCCGACCACCCUGUCUAGCGGUUCUCCGUCCGCCACCAGUUGGGCCUCUUGUGGAAGAAGAGGCAGUUCUCCAAGUAGCCGGCUUUCUACUUGCUCCAGCGGCUCCUCAGGUUCGUCCAAAGGAUGGAGGAACAGGCCCUGCUAUUGCCGUUGCAGUUCGAGCUAACGGGUCGUUAACCGUUCGUCAAGCGGCGCCUCCUCUAGAGACGUGUCCAGGACUCUUUCGACCAACUACUACGCAGUUUCAAAAAUUUACUGUUUCAGUGGUUCCGUCACUAGUGACAAGGACGAAUAAAGUUACUGAGGGUCUCCUGUCGAUGUUUUCUACGACCGGCGUAACGUCCGGACCUACAAGAGGCAUAGUAUUUGCUCGGAUGGCGCCGUAGCAACCGUAUACCAAAACUUUUUUUCUUGUUACUUUGUUAAGACCAAAAACUGGACCCUCCUCCGUGGAAACUACAAAGUCAAGAGCUUCAACCACUACCACAAAAACUCCACGACAGAUGUAGACCACUAUGAGUGGAACCACCACUACUGAAACUGUUCUCUUAACAACUAACCGACCGACCUUCGAAGUUCUUACUACUCCCAUAACUGGACGAUUUUCUGUUCGUUCGAGAGGUCGCAGAAUGUCUUCGUCGACUCUUCCGGUUCUACCUUAACAGUAGCAACUGGGUUUGUUUAUAGUCAAAUGGAAAGUAGUGUCGAUGACGACUACCCGGGUUCGUAUAACUCUGUUGUGAAUGGUCCCCAUUUAAACUCCUCGAUACGAGCCUAGAAGAACUGUCCGACUCCUGUGGACAGCUGUUAAGAGAAUCUCUACGCUUCAACAGUGAAUUUCUUUAUCUACUCCACUAAGAACACCCACCAAGGUGUUCUUAAGGUCGACAAGUCCUAGAACACUUCUUUUACUGCCCUUUCCUAGGGUUACACUGUCAGUUAGGGCUACUCCAACAACGAGAACCUCGUCGCCACGUCCGUCCUCAUAACAGCCCGCUACACUCGCUAUAACACGAAGAACUACAAUGCGGUGACAGAGAACCAAACCUCUGUGACCCACCCCACUACUGGUUCUAAUAGGGUUCCUUGUGUUGGGAGGGAUGGAGGUUCAGUCUCCAGAAAAGUUGCCGACGACUACCUGUCUGAUCACACCUCUAAUUACAAGAGGUUCCUCUUUCUCUCAAACAAUCCCUGUUAUUUAGGGAACCAUCGAAGUCCGAACUACCUUAAGGAGGACGAGGUGCACCACAAGGGGUUUAACUUCAGUUCAAACUAUAACUACGGUUACCGUAAGACAGACAACGACGCCACCUAUUCCCAUGACCCUUCUUCGUCCUGUAAUGCUAGUGACCUCGGUCGUGUGACGGUUUCCUACUCCAUCUCUUCUACCACCUUCUUCGACUUUUUAAGCGCCGCCUCCUGUUCCUCUUCUCCCUGCGUUAACUGUGGUUCUUGGUCCGUCUUAGACACUAGAUGGUCUGACUCUUUGUUGACUUCCUCGAGCCCCUGUUCCAGGGUCCGCUACAGUUCCUCUUCCACCUCCCCUUCGAGUUCCUUGAGGUCCAGCGGCAACGACCACCUAGCUGUGUCUGCUAUUUCCUACGUGAUCGACGCAACUUGGUUCUUCACUACGUCGAACCAGUCAGGGAGAUGGUCGUCGUCCCCAGUCCGGGAUGGGGACCUCGACUGCCGCGACGACUGAGAUGUCCGGGUCCGGGUCCGGGUAGACUCUUCUGUCCGCUACCACCACUGCAGUAUCUGCGACUAAAAUGGCUGUCGUUAACUUAUCUUGUCAUCCAAUCCUGUACUACUUGUUCCACAACCGGCUCAAAAACUACAACCUCCAAACCUCUCAAGUCAAUAGUCAAACCUACCUAUCUAACCGAAAACGAACAACCAAUGAGCUGGGGAACCGAAACAUGCCAAUACAUAACCUAAAUGAUUGAGAGAUCUCUUGACCCAGUAAAGGACAAACCUCGUACACGGUUUUUGACCUAACAAUAAAACCCCUCGUAAGAUGAGGGAAGCAAAUAUUUAUAUUCGGGUAAAUCUCUAAAGUGAUGCCUGAUGUGUGUGUAGCUAUCUCAAUGAUUCGAGGGUGCUUAAUGGCCUGACACCACGUAACUCCGGAAAUCUGCCGCGCAACUGGUGCAACCAGCCACAAUGUUUCGCUCUACCUAGGGAGGUCCGUUUUGCUCUACCUAGGGCGGCCACCUGCGCUGAUUUCGAAGGAGUCCGGUGGUAGCACUGGAGGGUGUUUGUGAGUGGUUUGACCGUGUGUGAGGGUUCGCGGCGAGGAGCGUCUGGUGCCGCGUCGUCGCCGCCGCUGGUUAUCGGCCACGCGGCCCGUGGAGUGGAGGCACGCCACACUGACGAAGAACCGCUGCCGCCAGGUGCGGCCACGCCGGAGCACCACACCAGGAGCCGGAGUUCCGCCGAUGGGUACCGGUCUUGUGCGUCCUCUCCGCCCGAGCUGUACCGCAGGUCGCAGAUCUAGGCACUGGGCGGCACCUACAACCAGCGACGGAGGAGGAGUGGUGGUAUCCAGUAGUUGACCGACGAGGCCGAGAAAAGCCGGGGAGGAGGGGUACCCAUGGAGUUAAGACUGCUGACCUUAUCUCCGUCCUGUCCGUCGCUUAGGCCACAGCAGAAGAAGGAUAGGUAGAGUGGCCCAAGCCAGAAGAAGCAAAGAGGAAAUUAAAAAACAAACGGAAAACGACGAGAACCGAGCCAACGGACCUCGUGAACACAACGGUCGGUUGGACGGUAACCCCAGUCCUGAAGCAAGCCAAAACGAGCCGCCGCAACCGCCACCGCUAAAGGAAGCCAAGGCGACCCGGGAACAUAAAUGACCGGCGAUCUACCCUUGUGCGAGACGUCAGUCCGAGGAUGCUGUGUUGGUGGCGGUGGCGUACAUGAGCUGCAGCGCAAGCAGCGACUUCGAGGGUUUGUCGAGUGGAGGACCGUCGUUCCAUGCGGGAGUGGAGUAAGGAGGGGAUAGAGGAAAGAGGAGGGGGUUGUCUUCAAGGACGGCAAUCAACGAGGCCGCUGUUCCUUCGAGCUCGUCCAUUGUAACGCGGGUGGAGUAAGUCUAAACUAAAACGUUAUCAUGUUUUAAGUAUGGACGGCAUAGUGGUUAUACUCAUGAGGUCCUUUUACACACACCCUUACCUUAAUCUAAUACACGAAGAUUUCAAUUACAGUACAUCUAGUUCAAACAGGAAACAUCUUAGUGUACGUUUAAAGCAUGUAACUAGACGUUACCCUUUACGUGUUCGAAGAAGUAAGGUUUAGUCGUAACAAAAUUCAAUAAUGUUCCAAUCCUUAGUCUAAUACAUGACUAUUAGUAAAAUAAAGUUCGGUUUGACAUUAACAAUCUACCAGCACAGAUAAUAAAGGAUAUCUGUUGGGAAAAACUCAAGGAUACCUAAAUAGUCCCAAGUUUUAUCAGUUAGUAUGUUCGAUCGUCGUCCUUUUUAAACAGGGUUGAUAAUUGGAUGUUCUAAAUCGCUACGUACGAUAUACAUCGUUAAACCGGGGUUUUUGGACUUGUGGUAUGGUGUGUUUAGUCUUAUGAAUCGUUUCGUACGUAAGUACACGGGUUCGUACUACAACGUCAUUAUUAUGUGGAUCUAACUCAUUACAGGAGAACGAAAAAGUCCUUAGUCAAUUUUAUACGUUCAUACACGUGAGUCAAACAAGUUCCGAGAACCAGUAUUCAACCAGUCCUCUACUUUCUUAUGCCGAUUUGAAGUAUAUAUUCACUUAAAAAUAGGUCUUAACUUAAAAGAGGCUUUGA